Molecule: ribosomal RNA, 425 nt
Filed under: uncultured bacterium
Lineage: Bacteria
Description: bacterial SSU rRNA
Rfam family: Bacterial small subunit ribosomal RNA
Source: RNAcentral
UGGGGAAUCUUGCACAAUGGGCGAAAGCCUGAUGCAGCGACGCCGCGUGCGGGAUGACGGCCUUCGGGUUGUAAACCGCUUUCAGCAGGGACGAUAAUGACGGUACCUGCAGAAGAAGCCCCGGCCAACUACGUGCCAGCAGCCGCGGUAAUACGUAGGGGGCAAGCGUUGUCCGGAUUUAUUGGGCGUAAAGAGCUCGUAGGCGGUUUGGUAAGUCUGGUGUGAAAUCUCCACGCUCAACGUGGAGGGGCCACCCGAUACUGCCAUGACUGGAGUCCGGUAGAGGAGUGUGGAAUUCCCGGUGUAGCGGUGAAAUGCGCAGAUAUCGGGAGGAACACCCGUAGCGAAGGCGGCACUCUGGGCCGGUACUGACGCUGAGGAGCGAAAGCGUGGGGAGCAAACAGGAUUAGAUACCCCCGUAGUCC